GCUCAAAUUUGAGUGUAACAAUGGCACCAUGGUGGUCAGUGUUCUUAUACUCAGUCUUUGUUAAUGUGUUCACCAUCUGCAUUCAGCAGCAGUUGAAAUACCUGUUUGCUUUCAAGCCACUUCUUUUACAUGUAUUAUCUUACCUCUUCCUAGAAUCUGCAUUGCAACAUACAGCAACACAAUGUAUCCAUGGUCUUUCUGGAACCAACUUAACUGUUCAUUGUAAAGAUGCUGUACUAUUUCUAAUGGCAAUCCAAGAGUUGUUAUUUCAAUCUAAAAUUUUCUCCACAGAUUGGACAAAAAUAUCUUUUCUCCUGUUUUGACAAGUCCUACUGUAUUGAGACUUAUUUCUGUAAGAACAUAGGAAUGUAAGAACAUAAGGAGCACCAUGCUGAGUCAGAACAAUGGUCCAUCUAGCCCAGUAUCCAGUUUCUGGCAACGGCAGGAGUGGACACUUUAGAGGGAGAACAUAUGAACAGAGCAGAGAUGUUUAACUGGUGGCCCAUGGGUUGCAAGCAGUUUGUAAGUGGUUACGAUAUGGCCUGUGAGCUCCUGCCUGGCUUGCACUCUGCCCACUGCUCUUGUUGCUGUGGUGUCUGCAGUCCCUGGGCUUCCCCUCCCUCCUACGGCUUCUGAUUUCUGUCUGUGCUCCUGGGAGCAGGGUGAUACAACAGAAGAGGGCCAGGCUGCUCAGGCUGUGCAGAAGGCAGAGGAGGAACCUGGGCUCUGGGUGCUGCAUGAUGCACAAAGGAGAGAGCCAAGCUGCUCAUGUAUUUGUGUAUCGUGCAUGUCUGGGAGGUGGGUCAAGGGUGCUAAAUGUAUGGUGGGGGGAAUCCAGACUGCCUGUGUUGCAGGGCGGGUGGCAGGGAGGAGAGGCUGGGCUGUGCACAUGGCAAGGGGGAGCUGUAUUGUAUGCACAGCAGGGGAGGGAGACCAGACGGGCAGCCUCCACUAUGUGCACCCCCUAGGUCUGUGGCCAACCCUCUAGUGCUGGGAAAUUGGACAUCCCUGAUCUAAAGGGGUCUGUCCAAACCCUCUUUUAUCAGUUAGGAAUCUAAAUAGCAACUUGGCAGCAUUUAAGCCAAUAUGUAUAUGAUUUAGGAACAAGUUAAGUCUCUGAAUUCAUGGACUGAUCCUUCAGUGCAACCUUGCUCCGAUUCCUCCCAACAAAGGCAGGAAGGAUGCCAUACUUACCUUCUGGUACUAGUUCGUGAGUUUGCCAGAGUUGGGAGAAAGAUGCAAGUGGCCCAUGCAAGUAACAGUAAAGUAAAGGGGUCUUCAACCCCUGAGGCCACAGCCCAGAACUGGCCCAUGGAACUAUGUUAUCUAGGCCAUAGAGCUUCCCAUAGGUCCAAAAAAUUGGAGGUAGUGCAGAGCCAGGCUGAGGUGCCACAGGGCCCAAUCUGGCUGCCUGGGUAGUGAUCCAGUGACGCAAGGCUGCAUAGGGCCCGAUCCAGUCAAAUGGAGCCCAAUGCAGGUGCUGACCUUGCACAGGAUGCAGCCUGCAGACUGGCCCAGCACCACUAAUCCAGUCCAUGGGGAUAAAAGUUUGAGCACCACUGGCACAGUAUAAGCAAGAGAGCUGGGAAAGGGAUUGGGUCUCUUCAGUCAGAAUCACUCUUAUUGUUUCCAUUAUACAUUUCAUUUACCACCACUAUUAGUAGCACUUUCUAGCUCUACCCUUGAUUUUAGCUGGCACCACCAUCACCGUUGUUAAGCUCUGCCACAGAUCUUAAAGCACUUAACCUUAAAGAAGGUUAAUAGUUAUAAAUUGGGAGGCUGAGGCACCAGAAAGGCAACUUACAUCAUCGACUAAGAAAGACUAGAGCCAAAAAUUGAGCCCAGGCCUCCUGAAUCCCAAUGUUCAAUUCAUUAGGACACACUGCCUUCUAAAUAUAAAAUACUUAGCUCAUAGCAACAUACAUCUUCAUUGGGCAGGUAAAGGUUGCUAAAAAUAGCUAAAGACUUAAGCACAUAGGCUUGAUAAAAUGAUUUUAACUAGAAACGAAAAAAGCAAAGGGGAGAAUUACUGGUAAAGUACAGACUGCCUAAACUCUUCUUCUCUUACGUUUUACUCAUUUCAAAAACUUUCCAACUUGCUGAAGAGGAAAUGGGAUAAAAGUCAUAGUAGGAGAUACAAGCCAGGAGAUAAAUCACUUCAAUUGUUUAUAUUUUAAACUACACUGAGAGAAUGGGCAGGCCUGAAAGAGGAAACAUUUUUUGCUGGAAAGUGGUAACAGCUGCCAUCACCUCUGAUCUGUGGAAAGAAGAGGCUGAAGACUCUGGGCCUGCAGAUUAGAUGUCAGGGCUGACGUACUAUCAGAGCCAAUGGAAUUUGAGGCCAGACAAGUGUAACGUCCGGUAUCGUCCUCAAAGGCUUCUGCUAUGAUGAGUGAAUG
Long non-coding RNA from Gavialis gangeticus (Gharial), 2399 nucleotides. RefSeq lists it as uncharacterized. The record is from RefSeq and is a predicted model, not a curated record. The transcript is spliced from 3 exons. Lineage: Eukaryota; Metazoa; Chordata; Crocodylia; Gavialidae.